AUAAUCAAAAAACUCCGAGUAUAUUUACCUGAGUAAUUUAGUUAUUAUGGGAAAUAUGCCGAUAGGGUCAAUUUGGAAACGGAUUGGCCUCCCGGAAUGGAAAGGAGUAUUAUUUUUAAUGAU
Molecule: non-coding RNA, 123 nt
Filed under: Halanaerobium hydrogeniformans
Lineage: Bacteria; Bacillati; Bacillota; Clostridia; Halanaerobiales; Halanaerobiaceae
Description: MoCo sequence
Rfam family: Molybdenum/Tungsten riboswitch aptamer (Moco RNA motif)
Source: Rfam by way of RNAcentral